Long non-coding RNA from Mastomys coucha (southern multimammate mouse), 1602 nucleotides. RefSeq lists it as uncharacterized. The record is from RefSeq and is a predicted model, not a curated record. The transcript is spliced from 2 exons. Lineage: Eukaryota; Metazoa; Chordata; Mammalia; Rodentia; Muridae.
AUGUGUGGGAAGACUUGAUCCCCAAACCCUGCCACUGCUGGACACACUGGAAGGUUUAAGAAGUGGGGUCCGGUGGAAGGAAGUGACCUCACUGGGUGCGUGCCUUCCUCGCUCUGCUUCUCCACCCGCCGGAGCCGUUUUCCUUCAGCCCGGCACUGUUGAUGCUCAUUCUGGCCCCAGCCCCAAAGUAAACUGUUCAAAGCAGUGGACUAGACUGGUUAGCUUCCUCCCUUGCCUCAGAACACACUUCGUUAUUUCUUAGAGGAAGAGGCUUCCGGCUCUCCUGCAUUCUGCUUUCCCUUGGCUGACGUGACUCUUCGGAGGCAGAGAGGUCUGUGGACCACCCAACCCGUGAAGGAAAUUGCCCCUGGUAUGGACAUGCCAGUGUCUGGCUGUGUCUCUGGUUCCUUGGGAGUUGGCUUGGUCUCUGACCUUGGGACUUAUGUAACCCUCAUCAACUGAAUCUUUCUGAACUCAUCAGCAAGCCAGGGGUUGGAGGAGGCCUUCUGAGCAGCCCUUGGGGGAUCACCCAGGAUCCUCUUUGUUGUGGCUCCCUGGGAAGAAAGCCCCACUAGGAGCUUAGUAGCCACAUAGCAGAGUAAGCGGGGCUGUUUGUGCCUCUGUCAGUUGCCACUCAGGGGCGGUUCCCUGUGCACUCUGCAGGGGGUUUGGGAGGGCGGGGGAAGACGUCAGGCCUGGGAGCGAAGGCUCCAUAUUGUGGUAGUGCGCGAAGCCCACAGUCAACACUUUCUGUCUUGGUGAUUUGUGAAGCAGUAUCACCCUUCUGCCUUCAUCAUGUCCAGCUGGGACCCGAGAAGAACUCAGCCUUGAAGUCUGGGAACUCGCCCUCGUCCUGGUCCUGGUCUCUGCUCAAUGCUGAUCAAGGGUCUGCCUGGAGUUCUCACUGCCAGUUGCUCCUUAAAUGGACUCUCUCCAAGCGUUGGGGAUGGGGAGGGAAAGCUCAUGUCAACAUUCUAAGUCCAAACUUGAGGACAGACAGUUUCCUGGGUACAGGGGAACCUGGGGUCAAAAUCUGUACGUUGAACUCCUUACUCCCAAAUUCUAGAAUGAGGACGAGAUGAGCCCCUUAAGAGUGGCUCAAAAUGAAGCCGUCGAGGUGGGUCCUAAUCCAAUUUUACUGGUGUCAUAAGGUGACUAGGCCCCACAGUGGGAUUUGGGGAGGGCACCUAGUGGGGAACUAGGUGGAGAGGAGCGGGCCACCUGUGGGCCCAGGAGGCGAGGUCAUAUAGGACAUUUCCAGAACUGAUUAAGGCUUUGCCUUCCUGGAAGCAACCACCCACGAAUUCAAUGGAUUAAUGCUACCCCUUAGGGGUGAGUCUAUUGUAAAAGGCCAGUUUGCUUAGGUCUUUUGCAUAUUAUGCUCUAUACGGAUUAGGGAUUCUGCCAAAUGCCUUGACUUUGUACCAGAGCCAUGAGCCAAAACAAGACAACUUACCCAAGCUGUAGUAUUGUGUUAUUAGCAACAGAAAAUGCACUCAGACAAGUGUUAAAAUUCGUAUUUCAGGAUCGUAUCUGGACACCAGGAGCUCAGAAAAUGCCUUUCUCAUACUUCUCUGUAAAAUAAAAGACUGGAAAAAGUGG